Molecule: ribosomal RNA, 443 nt
Filed under: uncultured bacterium
Lineage: Bacteria
Description: partial 16S ribosomal RNA
Rfam family: Bacterial small subunit ribosomal RNA
Source: RNAcentral
CCUACGGGAGGCAGCAGUGGGGAAUAUUGGGCAAUGGGCGCAAGCCUGACCCAGCAACGCCGCGUGAAGGAAGAAGGCUUUCGGGUUGUAAACUUCUUUUCUCAGGGACGAAGCAAGUGACGGUACCUGAUGAAUAAGCCACGGCUAACUACGUGCCAGCAGCCGCGGUAAUACGUAGGUGGCAAGAGUUAGCCGGAUUUUCUGGGUGUAAAGGGCGUGUAGGGGGGGGAGCAAGUCAGAUUGGAAAACUAUGGGCUCAACCCAUUGCCUGCAUUUGAAACUGUACUUCUUGAGUGCUGGAGAGGCAAUCGGAAUUCCGUGUGUAGCGGUGAAAUGCGUAGAUAUACGGAGGAACACCAGUGGCGAAGGCGGACUGCUGGACAGUAACUGACGCUGAGGCGCGAAAGCGUGGGGAGCAAACAGGAUUAGAUACCCGAGUAGUC